This 321-nucleotide ribosomal RNA is filed under the name uncultured eukaryote. RNAcentral describes it as "partial 18S ribosomal RNA". It matches the Rfam family "Eukaryotic small subunit ribosomal RNA", at positions 1470 to 1796 of the family's 1831-position model. The record is from RNAcentral.
CCCUUAGAUGUCCUGGGCCGCACGCGUGCUACACUGAUACGUGCAACAAGUUUAUUUCCUGGCUCGGAAGAGUUCGGGUAAUCUUUAUAAUGCGUAUCGUGCUAGGGAUAGAUCUUUGAAAUUAUGGAUCUUGAACGAGGAAUUCCUAGUAAGCAUAAGUCAUCAGCUUGUGCUGAUUACGUCCCUGCCCUUUGUACACACCGCCCGUCGCUGCUACCGAUUUUGAGUGAUCCGGUGAACCUUCUGGACUGUACGCAGGCUUGACCUGUGCGUGGGAAAUUAAGUAAACCUUAUCACUUAGAGGAAGCAGAAGUCGUAACA